GCAAUAUUAGCUGCAAUUGUAACAGCUCUGAAGUCUGAUCAAAGUCCAACUUACAGUCAAAUUACUUGGAUGUCAUUUACUGAUUUGAGAAAUACAUGGAGUGAUUUCCCAAGGCAGUACACAGAGGAAUACGAGCAAUGUAUCGAGACUAUUCUAUCAGCGAAUAAAGGAAGAUUUUUCAAGAGUGCAGGAGAUAUCGUAGAAGUAAGAUUUGCUCAGACCGUAAUGGUUGUAACCUGCGAAUGGGCAUGGUGGCUGAGGCAACAUAUCUGCAUAAGAGAGUCCAUGUUCUAUCAAUGGUCCAAUCAAUGGAUAGCAUUGUGAGGUUGAAGAAGAAGAAAGGAAGCUUGAAGCUGAAGAAACAGAGAAGCAGUGCUCGAAAGUAAACACUGAACUGAAAGAAUAGGAGAUUAAAUCCAACCGUUUUAAAGAGUUGGAGGAGAGGUAGCCAAAUCUUAGUUUCCAAGGGGAAUAUAUCUUAUGAACAGUAAUAUAUCGUAUGAUGAUUAAUGUUCUUUAGUUUCCAAGGGGAAGUGUUGUGUUUUAGAUUUAAGUAUCACGUUACACUUUGUUUCAGGUACUGGAAUGAGUUCAAUAGCUUCCGGUUUCAACUAAUAUCACAUAAGGUUAACCAGCAUGAGGACGAAGAUAAUAGGCGUGUCUUCUUUCAUGGAGAUCUCAACCAACAUCUUUAAAAACGGGAGAUUACCGCCUUUUAACUCGAUUGAUGCAGUGAGGUUUAAAGAGGAGAUAAAAAGGUGUGCGAGAGGUGUUAUGAGAUAUGCAGACUAUUGUAGUAGCUCUUGUGAUCUACAUAAGGAUGGUGGUUUGGUGAAUGUUUUUUCAACUCAAAAUAUGGAAAUGAAGGUGGAAAUCUUUGUGUAAUUGAAUUUUUUUCGCUCAGCGCCUUUUCCCGAGGUUUUCUCCCCUAAUUGCUCUUCUUGUUUGCUAAUUUUGUUUUGACAACUGAUUUCAAU
Long non-coding RNA from Spinacia oleracea (spinach), 977 nucleotides. RefSeq lists it as uncharacterized. Lineage: Eukaryota; Viridiplantae; Streptophyta; Magnoliopsida; Caryophyllales; Amaranthaceae. The record is from RefSeq and is a predicted model, not a curated record. The transcript has 4 exons.